AGCAGCCGCGGUAAUUCCAGCUCCAAUAGCGUAUAUUAAAGUUGUUGCAGUUAAAAAGCUCGUAGUUGAAUUUCGGGGUUAGCAGGUCGGUCGUGCCAUCGGUAUGAACUGGUCUCGCUGAUCCCUCCCUCUUGACGAACUGUGAUGCCAUUAAUUUGGUGUCGCAGGGAAUCAGGACUGUUACUUUGAAAAAAUUAGAGUGUUUAAAGCAGGCUCACGCUUGAAUACAUUAACAUGGAAUAAUGAAAUAGGACGUUUGAUCCUAUUUUGUUGGCUUCUAGGAUUGACGUAAUGAUUAAUAGGGAUAGUUGGGGGCAUUAGUAUUCAAUUGUCAGAGGUGAAAUUCUUGGAUUUAUUGAAGACUAACUACUGCGAAAGCAUUUGCCAAGGAUGUUUUCAUUAAUCAAGAACGAAAGUUAGGGGAUCGAAGACGAUCAGAUACCGUCGUAGUCUUAACCAUAAACUAUGCCGACUAGGGAUCGGAUGAUGUUAAUUUUUUAAUGACUCAUUCGGCGCCUUA
RNAcentral lists this unclassified non-coding RNA (520 nucleotides) under uncultured Glomus. Its description in RNAcentral is "SSU rRNA". It matches the Rfam family "Eukaryotic small subunit ribosomal RNA", at positions 569 to 1090 of the family's 1831-position model. The record is from RNAcentral. Lineage: Eukaryota; Fungi; Glomeromycota; Glomeromycetes; Glomerales; Glomeraceae.